Non-coding RNA from Cinara cedri, 1394 nucleotides. NCBI's taxonomy places the organism in Eukaryota, Metazoa, Arthropoda, Insecta, Hemiptera, Aphididae. The record is from the annotation of a GenBank genome assembly.
CAAAUAUCGUGUUGAGAGAUAUUAAUUAUGUUAUUACCAGUACAAAUAAUAAUAUAUUGGUUUUAGUCUUUCAAUAUAUAAAGUUUAAACACUAAGAUAGGAAUAAAAGUAUAUUUCAAAUUAUUUUGUAAAAUAUUCACUAACCCGUAGGAUAGUUGAAAUACAUAUUUUUUGUCACAGAUUAAAAUAGUUGAAUGUACAUUAACUUGAUACAAAAAUUGAAUAAUUAAGAAUAACGGUGAAUUUUUAUUUUUUAAAGAAUAUAAAAAUGUAUAAUUUUAAUUAAGUAUACAAAAUAAAGAGAAUUACAAAAUAAAAUGUAUACAAAUUAAUUUUACACAUUACAAUCAAGCCAGGGUGAAUAAUUAAAAAUAACAUUCUAAUACAUUUUAGUUUAUAUCCAUUCAAAAUAGUUUUAUAUAUGAAAAAUUAUUACCUUGUCCAAUAAUAUUCAGAAUUUAUUUAAUACAAAUGUAAAAAACAUUAUACACAAAUGAUAGUAUCGUAAAAUGGGAUGAACGGAAACAUUUUUGAACUUUGAAGUAUCAUAUAAACUAUUCUAUUUGGGCUACAUAAUUUAUUAAUACACCGAAAUUUCUCUAAGUACUUUAAGUAUGUAUAUUCAAAAUAUUUGUAUUCUUAACAGAUUUUUGUUUUUUAAUAUAUUUUUUUAAGUGCUCUGUUUCGAUUUUAUUCACCUGUUAGGCAGAAUUUAAUUUUAGAACUAAAUAUAUACAUAUAUAAUUUAAUGAAUGAUGUUUAGGUAAGGCAGUAUUUAAUUAUUAUAAAGUUUUAAAGUUUAGUUUGAACUGAAGUGAACCACAAUUGUAUGGGGUUGGUUUAGAUAAUUUUCCUAUGGUUUGUUCAAAUUGAAGCUCAAAUUAAUCUUUCACAUUUGGAAAACAAUAAAUGUAUCCAAAAUCUCUGGUGUUUUUUUCCUUAAUAAUUUUCCUAAAUGACCAUAAUUGGUUUUUUUUUAAAAAAUAAUUUGUCUAUUAAAAGAUGUGUAGUACAUCUUGCUUGUUGUUGAUUACCUCAAUCUCUUACAUAAUUGCAUUAUAUUUUUGCAAUUUUGAAUUUGUUAGACAAAAAUAAAUUAACUCUUAGUGGUUUGAAAUAAAAUAAUAAUGCUUACGAUUUAUUAAAGCUAAUAAUAUUUAGAAAACUAAGCCAAGAAAAGAAAUUGAAAUAAAUAAGUUUAAACCGCAAAUGGUAACUUUGAAUUUUGAAUAUUUUUCACUAAUAAGAAAUGUUUUGGUAUAAAAAAAUGUCUUACUUAUAAAUGUUGGAUUUAGUGAAUGUUUCAUAUUGGUAAAACUAAAACUGAAUUAUAAGGAAAUAAAAAAAAAUUCUUAGUAUUAUUUCUAUUCACACAAUUUUAUGGUAAUACAAAU